RNAcentral lists this ribosomal RNA (468 nucleotides) under uncultured bacterium. RNAcentral's name for it is "partial 16S ribosomal RNA". It matches the Rfam family "Bacterial small subunit ribosomal RNA", at positions 28 to 507 of the family's 1533-position model. The record is from RNAcentral.
GACGAACGCUGGCGGCGUGCUUAACCCAUGCAAUUCGAACGGAAGGGCCCUGCUUUUUUGGGUUGCUCGAUUGGCGAACGGGUGAUUAACACGUGAUUAACCUGCCCUUGCCUUUGGGAUAACUUCAGGAAACUGGGGCUAAUACCGGAUAGGAGCUCCUGCUGCAUGGUGGGGGUUGGAAAGUUUCGGCGGUUGGGGAUGGACUCGCGGCUUAUCAGCUUGUUGGUGGGGUAGUGGCUUACCAAGGCUUUGACGGGUAGCCGGCCUGAGAGGGUGACCGGCCACAUUGGGACUGAGAUACGGCCCAGACUCCUACGGGAGGCAGCAGUGGGGAAUAUUGCACAAUGGGCGGAAGCCUGAUGCAGCAACGCCGCGUGCGGGAUGACGGCCUUCGGGUUGUAAACCGCUUUCGCCUGUGACGAAGCGUGAGUGACGGUAAUGGGUAAAGAAGCACCGGCUAACUACGUG